GAAAUGCGAUAAGUAAUGUGAAUUACAGAAUUCAGUGAAUCAUCGAAUCUUUGAACGCACAUUGCGCCCGCCAGUAUUCUGGCGGGCAUGCCUGUUCGAGCGUCAUUUCAACCCUCAAGCCCUGCUUGGUGUUGGGGAUCGGCGUUGCCUCCUCCGUCGUUCGCGGCGGGGUGAGGUCGCCGCCCCCGAAAUGAAUUGGCGGUCUCGUCGCAGCUUUCCUUUGCGUAGUAACAUACCACCUCGCAACCAGGAGCGCGGCGCGGCCACUGCCGUAAAACGCCCAACUUUUUCAAGAGUUGACCUCGAAUCAGGUAGGAAUACCCGCUGAACUUAAGC
Molecule: unclassified non-coding RNA, 336 nt
Filed under: plant metagenome
Description: partial contains 5.8S ribosomal RNA, internal transcribed spacer 2, and large subunit ribosomal RNA
Rfam family: 5.8S ribosomal RNA (bases 1-105)
Source: RNAcentral